GGUCGGGCCCUGUGCGACGGGCGCCCGGGAAUCAGGUCAGGACCGGGAGGUAGCAGCCUUCAACGGCAGCGCCUGUGUGCCGCAGGUAGCCUGGCCGUC
This 99-nucleotide signal recognition particle RNA is filed under the name Ilumatobacteraceae bacterium. RNAcentral's name for it is "signal recognition particle sRNA small type". It matches the Rfam family "Bacterial small signal recognition particle RNA". From Rfam's summary of the family: The signal recognition particle (SRP) is a universally conserved ribonucleoprotein involved in the co-translational targeting of proteins to membranes. The record is from RNAcentral. Lineage: Bacteria; Bacillati; Actinomycetota; Acidimicrobiia; Acidimicrobiales; Ilumatobacteraceae.